CAAGGGAUUUUUCCCCAAUGGCCGAAAGGCUGAGGGAGCAACGUCGCGUGCAGGACGACGGCCUUCGGGCUGUAAACUGCUUUUGGGGGGGAAGAUACUGACGGUACCCCCCGAAUAAGCCCCGGCUAACUCCGUGCCAGCAGCCGCGGUAAGACGGAGGGGGCAAGCGUUGUCCGGAAUCACUGGGCGUAAAGCGCGUGUAGGUGGUCUGGUGCGUCGGCGCUGAAAGCUCUGGGCUCAACCCAGAGAAGCGUGCCGAUACGACCGGACUUGAGGCAGAGAGAGGGUAGCGGAAUUCCGGGUGUAGUGGUGAAAUGCGUAGAGAUCCGGAGGACGCCAGAGACGAAGGUGGCUACCUGGCUCUGACCUGACACUGAGACGCGAUAGCGUGGGGAGCGAACCGGAUUAGAUACCCGGGUAGUCCACGCCGUAAACGAUGCCGGCUCGUUCUAGUGGGGGUUUACCGCCCCGUGUGGGCCAAGCUUACGCGUUAAGCCGGCCGCC
RNAcentral lists this ribosomal RNA (504 nucleotides) under uncultured bacterium. Its description in RNAcentral is "bacterial SSU rRNA". It matches the Rfam family "Bacterial small subunit ribosomal RNA", at positions 354 to 873 of the family's 1533-position model. The record is from RNAcentral.